GACGAACCGUGCGAACGUUGUUCGGAAUCACUGGGUUUAAAGGGCGCGUAGGCGGCCGUGCACGUCUGGGGUGAAAUCCUCCCGCCUAACGGGAGAACGGCCUCGGAUCCGGUACGGCUCGAGGGGGGCAGGGGCUUGCGGAACAUCCGGUGGAGCGGUGAAAUGCGUUGAGAUCGGAUGGAACUCCGGUGGCGAAGGCGGCAAGCUGGACCCCAACUGACGCUGAGGCGCGAAAGCCAGGGGAGCAAACGGG
This 253-nucleotide ribosomal RNA is filed under the name uncultured bacterium. RNAcentral's name for it is "partial 16S ribosomal RNA". It matches the Rfam family "Bacterial small subunit ribosomal RNA", at positions 524 to 776 of the family's 1533-position model. The record is from RNAcentral.